CCACGCCCAGCGAGUAGGGGCAGAUAUCCGUGAGGAUCACCUCUUCAACGUCUUCAUGGCGCAGGCGACAGGCGGC
RNAcentral lists this transfer RNA (76 nucleotides) under Salmonella sp. FORC89. RNAcentral describes it as "tRNA-Lys". Lineage: Bacteria; Pseudomonadati; Pseudomonadota; Gammaproteobacteria; Enterobacterales; Enterobacteriaceae. The record is from RNAcentral.